AUGCUACUCCCUCCGUCCCGAAAUACUUGUCGGAGGAAUGGAUGUAUCUAGACGUAUUAUAUUCUGCAUACAUCCAUUUUUAUGCAUUUUUUUGACGGGUAUUUCCGGACAGAGGAAGUACAAG
Molecule: non-coding RNA, 124 nt
Organism: Triticum aestivum (bread wheat)
Lineage: Eukaryota; Viridiplantae; Streptophyta; Magnoliopsida; Poales; Poaceae
Source: Rfam